UAAGUACAUCUACCCCCGGUACUUCCACCCCCAGUACUUCUUCAACAAAGACGUCUUCACCAGCCACCCCAA
Molecule: transfer RNA, 72 nt
Filed under: Candidozyma auris
Lineage: Eukaryota; Fungi; Ascomycota; Pichiomycetes; Serinales; Metschnikowiaceae
Description: [Candida] auris tRNA-Glu
Source: RNAcentral